UACGAAGGGGGCUAGCGUUGUUCGGAAUUACUGGGCGUAAAGGGCGCGUAGGCGGCCUUCUAAGUCGAACGUGAAAUCCCUGGGCUCAACCCAGGAACUGCGUCCGAUACUGAAAGGCUUGAAUCCGGGAGAGGGAUGCGGAAUUCCUGGUGUAGCGGUGAAAUGCGCAGAUAUCAGGAAGAACACCCGUGGCGAAGGCGGCUCUCUGGGACGGUACUGACGCUGAGACGCGAAAGCGUGGGGAGCGAACAGG
This 253-nucleotide ribosomal RNA is filed under the name uncultured bacterium. RNAcentral describes it as "partial 16S ribosomal RNA". It matches the Rfam family "Bacterial small subunit ribosomal RNA", at positions 524 to 776 of the family's 1533-position model. The record is from RNAcentral.